UACGUAGGUGGCAAGCGUUAUCCGGAAUUACUGGGCGUAAAGGGCACGUAGGCGGUGAAUCGGGUUGAAAGUGAAAGUCGCCAAAAAGUGGCGGAAUGCUCUCGAAACCAAUUCACUUGAGUGAGACAGAGGAGAGUGGAAUUUCGUGUGUAGGGGUGAAAUCCGUAGAUCUACGAAGGAACGCCAAAAGCGAAGGCAGCUCUCUGGGUCCCUACCGACGCUGGGGUGCGAAAGCAGGGGGAGCGAACAGG
RNAcentral lists this ribosomal RNA (251 nucleotides) under uncultured bacterium. RNAcentral describes it as "partial 16S ribosomal RNA". It matches the Rfam family "Bacterial small subunit ribosomal RNA", at positions 524 to 776 of the family's 1533-position model. The record is from RNAcentral.